GAGGGUAUAGCUCAGUGGUAGAGUGCAUAAUUGGUGUGUACAUGGUCCUGUGUUCAAUCCCCAGUACCUCCA
Molecule: transfer RNA, 72 nt
Filed under: Camelus bactrianus (Bactrian camel)
Lineage: Eukaryota; Metazoa; Chordata; Mammalia; Artiodactyla; Camelidae
Also listed under: 3 other names
Rfam family: tRNA
About the family: Transfer RNA (tRNA) molecules are approximately 80 nucleotides in length. Their secondary structure includes four short double-helical elements and three loops (D, anti-codon, and T loops). Further hydrogen bonds mediate the characteristic L-shaped molecular structure. tRNAs have two regions of fundamental functional importance: the anti-codon, which is responsible for specific mRNA codon recognition, and the 3' end, to which the tRNAs corresponding amino acid is attached (by aminoacyl-tRNA synthetases). tRNAs cope with the degeneracy of the genetic code in two manners: having more than one tRNA (with a specific anti-codon) for a particular amino acid; and 'wobble' base-pairing, i.e. permitting non-standard base-pairing at the 3rd anti-codon position.
Source: Rfam by way of RNAcentral